GGCCUCGUGGCCUAAUGGCUAGGGCGCUAGAUUUCGGCGACACAGUAACAUGUGCGAUUCUGAUUCUCUAGAGAUUGUCGGUUCGAGUCCGGCCGAGGUCG
Hypoxylon argillaceum is the source of this 101-nucleotide non-coding RNA. The record is from the annotation of a GenBank genome assembly. NCBI's taxonomy places the organism in Eukaryota, Fungi, Ascomycota, Sordariomycetes, Xylariales, Hypoxylaceae.